GGGGGUCUAGCUCAGAUGGUAGAGCGCUCGCUUCGCAUGCGAGAAGUACUGGGAUCGAUACCCAGGUCCUCCA
This 73-nucleotide transfer RNA is filed under the name Coemansia javaensis. It matches the Rfam family "tRNA". From Rfam's summary of the family: Transfer RNA (tRNA) molecules are approximately 80 nucleotides in length. The record is from Rfam by way of RNAcentral. Lineage: Eukaryota; Fungi; Kickxellomycota; Kickxellomycetes; Kickxellales; Kickxellaceae.